AAGGAAUAUUGGACAAUGGGGGCAACCCUGAUCCAGCCAUGCCGCGUGAGUGAAGAAGGCCUUAGGGUUGUAAAGCUCUUUCAGGUGCGAAGAUAAUGACUGUAACACCAGAAGAAGCUCCGGCUAAAUUCGUGCCAGCAGCCGCGGUAAUACGAAUGGAGCGAGCGUUGUUCGGAAUCACUGGGCGUAAAGCGUAUGCAGGCGGACAUGCAAGUCAGAAGUGAAAUCCCAGGGCUUAACCCUGGAAUGGCUUUUGAAACUGCAUGUCUAGAGUCUCGGAGGGGCCAGCGGAAUUCUCAGUGUAGAGGUGAAAUUCGCAGAUAUUGAGAGGAACACCAGUGGCGUAGGCGGCUGGCUGGACGAGUACUGACGCUCAGAUACGAAAGCGUGGGGAUCAAAC
RNAcentral lists this ribosomal RNA (400 nucleotides) under uncultured bacterium. Its description in RNAcentral is "bacterial SSU rRNA". It matches the Rfam family "Bacterial small subunit ribosomal RNA", at positions 356 to 773 of the family's 1533-position model. The record is from RNAcentral.